AGUGAACGCUGGCGGUAGGCCUAACACAUGCAAGUCGAACGGCAGCACAGUAAGAGCUUGCUCUUACGGGUGGCGAGUGGCGGACGGGUGAGGAAUACAUCGGAAUCUACUUUUUCGGGGGGGAUAACGUAGGGAAACUUACGCUAAUACCGCAUACGACCUACGGGUGAAAGCAGGGGAUCUUCGGACCUUGCGCGAUUGUAUGAGCCGAUGUCGGAUUAGCUAGUUGGCGAGGUAAAGGCCCACCAAGGCGACGAUGCGUAGCUGGUCUGAGAGGGUGAUCAGCCACACUGGAACUGAGACACGGUCCAGACUCCUACGGGAGGCAGCAGUGGGGAAUAUUGGACAAUGGGCGCAAGCCUGAUCCAGCCAUACUGCGUGGGUGAAGAAGGCCUUCGGGUUGUAAAGCCCUUUUGUUGGGAAAGAAAAGCAGCAGGUUAAUACCCCGCUGUUCUGACGGUACCCAAAGAAUAAGCACCGGCUAACUUCGUG
RNAcentral lists this ribosomal RNA (492 nucleotides) under uncultured bacterium. Its description in RNAcentral is "partial 16S ribosomal RNA". It matches the Rfam family "Bacterial small subunit ribosomal RNA", at positions 29 to 507 of the family's 1533-position model. The record is from RNAcentral.